CCCCUCCCAGCCGUCGGCUUCCCCUCUCUAAAUCAUUCCUCAAUUCCCAACUCAACAACCUUACUGGAGGAGAAAAUCAGCGGCUUCCUCCUCCUCGGCGGAAAUCGCCGACUUCCCCGGCGAUUUCGUCGCCCAACUCCCGUUUCCCACCGCCGUCUCCUCCGGCGUCUCUCUCUCUUCUCUAUUUCUCAUUUCUUUUGCGAAAAUUAGAAGAUCCCCAAAUUUCAAAUUCUGAAAUUUCCAAAUUGAACGAAGGCAGUGGCGGUUUCUCCUCCGCUUCGUUCACAGCUCUCUCUCCGUUCACCUCCGCUGCUGUCCGAGCGUGAUUCGAGGCGCGCCACCACCGCCUCGCGCUAUGCUCCAGCGGCGUGGCAGCCUCCUCGCGAUUAAGCUAAGUCUCGGUUUAAAUUCUAAAUUUCAGUCUUAGACUAGAUUCUCAGUUUGAGCAUGUGGCAGAACGAACAAUCUGGACUUUUGGAUUACAGUUUUUUGGGCUUAAUUUUGAUGGUGAGGGGUAAAAUUGAUGCUUUCUAUAUUUUUUUGGUUCCUACAUGAUGUCAACGAGAAGACUUGGGUGGAGAGCAUGGUUACCUGUUGUGGUGUUAUGGAAAAAGCUCCCCCUUGCUGCCUAGUUCUCGGCUCCUCACGGAAUAGGAGUAUGCUGAUUUCUUUGAUGUGGUGGAAGGAUGUUCGAUGUGUAUGAGAGAGGGGUUUUGGAGGUGGUGCGGGGGUUCUUAUAGGAAGAAAGGGUGUACUCGUGGGGUUUUAAUUGGCUGCUGCAUUCUUGGUGCACAAAGAUGGCAGAGGAGGGUACUGCAACUCUCGGCAGUAGCAGGCGCCACCAAGGCUGUGCAGUGGCUAACAUCUGAGGUCCAUUUCAGCUGGAAAGGGGCUGAUAAUGCAUCUUUCGGUUAAAGCUGGGGUGCAGGGCUUGUUGCCACUCAUCUUUCCUAUUUUGCGACGUGGUAUCCAAGACUCGUUUAUUCUCACCUACACCUUUGUAUUUUGCAGCGACGCACCACGCUAGUUAACGGAAAUUCUGCCCUUCGCGACACGGCUCGUGGCCUUUGGCCCAACGGCCGAUCGAGACACGGCUUGGCGUGGCUUAGCCCGAUAAGAUGGGCUAUUGCUUAUCUCUUUUUUAAGACCUCAUACUUCUCUAUUUGUGACUUAAACUCUUCGUGUAUUGCAUUGUAGUUAGUUUGCGACGAACUUAUGUUCUACAUUUUCUUUCUUGUACUAAAUCAACACGUUUACUGUGGAAAAAGAAAAAUAGCGUGCGCACUUCUUUUUCCCUGUUAUUUUCUUUAUUUUCAUCGUCAAUAUUUGUAAUCCCCGAGUUAAAAUGGAAAUUUUGAAUAUCGUGUUUUGUUUA
This is a long non-coding RNA of Salvia splendens (bonfire salvia), 1375 nucleotides long. RefSeq lists it as uncharacterized. The record is from RefSeq and is a predicted model, not a curated record. The transcript is spliced from 3 exons. NCBI's taxonomy places the organism in Eukaryota, Viridiplantae, Streptophyta, Magnoliopsida, Lamiales, Lamiaceae.